GCGGCUUUCCCAUGCAGUCGAGCGGGGGAGGUUGCUUCGGUAACUGACCUAGCGGCGGACGGGUGAGUAAUACUUAGGAAUCUGCCUAUUAAUGGGGGACAACAUCUCGAAAGGGAUGCUAAUACCGCAUACGCCCUACGGGGGAAAGCAGGGGAUCACUUGUGACCUUGCGUUAAUAGAUGAGCCUAAGUCGGAUUAGCUAGUUGGUGGGGUAAAGGCCUACCAAGGCGACGAUCUGUAGCGGGUCUGAGAGGAUGAUCCGCCACACUGGGACUGAGACACGGCCCAGACUCCUACGGGAGGCAGCAGUGGGGAAUAUUGGACAAUGGGGGGAACCCUGAUCCAGCCAUGCCGCGUGUGUGAAGAAGGCCUUAUGGUUGUAAAGCACUUUAAGCGAGGAGGAGGCUCUCUUGGUUAAUACCCAAGAAGAGUGGACGUUACUCGCAGAAUAAGCACCGGCUAACUCUGUGCCAGCAGCCGCGGUAAUACAGAGGGUGCGAGCGUUAAUCGGAUUUACUGGGCGUAAAGCGUGCGUAGGCGGCUUUUUAAGUCGGAUGUGAAAUCCCUGAGCUUAACUUGGGAAUUGCAUUCGAUACUGGGAAGCUAGAGUAUGGGAGAGGAUGGUAGAAUUCCAGGUGUAGCGGUGAAAUGCGUAGAGAUCUGGAGGAAUACCGAUGGCGAAGGCAGCCAUCUGGCCUAAUACUGACGCUGAGGUACGAAAGCAUGGGGAGCAAACAGGAUUAGAUACCCUGGUAGUCCAUGCCGUAAACGAUGUCUACUAGCCGUUGGGGCCUUUGAGGCUUUAGUGGCGCAGCUAACGCGAUAAGUAGACCGCCUGGGGAGUACGGUCGCAAGACUAAAACUCGAAUGAAUUGACGGGGGCCCGCCCAAGCGGUGGAGCAUGGGGUUUAAUUCGAUGCAACGCGAAAAACCUUACCUGGUCUUGACAUAGUAAGAACUUUCCAGAAGAUGGAUUGGUGCCUUCGGGAACUUACAUACAGGUGCUGCAUGGCUGUCGUCAGCUCGUGUCCGGGAGAUGUUGGGUAAGUCCCCGCACCGAGCGCCACCCUUUUUCUUAUUGCCAGCACUCCGGUGGGAACUUUAAGGAUACUGCCAGUGGACAACUGGAAGAAGGCNGGACNNNGUCAGGUCUCAUGGCCUUACNGACCAGGUCANCACNUGCUACAUGGUCCGUCANGGUGCUUACUAGCGAUNGA
RNAcentral lists this ribosomal RNA (1217 nucleotides) under uncultured Acinetobacter sp. RNAcentral describes it as "bacterial SSU rRNA". It matches the Rfam family "Bacterial small subunit ribosomal RNA", at positions 42 to 1264 of the family's 1533-position model. Lineage: Bacteria; Pseudomonadati; Pseudomonadota; Gammaproteobacteria; Moraxellales; Moraxellaceae. The record is from RNAcentral.